Molecule: ribosomal RNA, 980 nt
Filed under: uncultured Verrucomicrobiota bacterium
Lineage: Bacteria; Pseudomonadati; Verrucomicrobiota
Description: bacterial SSU rRNA
Rfam family: Bacterial small subunit ribosomal RNA
Source: RNAcentral
UUUCUCAAUGGGGGAAACCCUGAAGGAGCGACGCCGCGGGAGGAUGAAGGCUUCGGGUUGUAAACUCCUGUCAUUUGGGAACAAACCUUUCAUUUAACUGAUGAAAGACUGAUAGUACCAGAAGAGGAAGAGACGGCUAACUCUGUGCCAGCAGCCGCGGUAAUACAGAGKUCUCAACCGUUGUUCGGAUUCAUUGGGCGUAAAGGGUGCGUAGGCGGUCGCGCAAGUCGGAUGUGAAAUCUCAGGGCUCAACCCUGAAACUGCAUUCGAUACUGCGUGGCUAGAGUGCUGGAGGGGAGACUGGAAUUUACGGUGUAGCAGUGAAAUGCGUAGAUAUCGUAAGGAAGACCAGUGGCGAAGGCGAGUCUCUGGACAGCAACUGACGCUGAGGCACGAAGGCCAGGGGAGCAAACGGGAUUAGAUACCCCGGUAGUCCUGGCAGUAAACGGUGCACGUUUGGUGUAAGCGGAUUCGACCCCGCUUGUGCCGGAGCUAACGCGUUAAACGUGCCGCCUGGGAAGUACGGUCGCAAGAUUAAAACUCAAAGAAAUUGACGGGGGCCGCACAAGCGGUGGAGUAUGUGGCUUAAUUCGAUGCAACGCGAAGAACCUUACCAGGGUUUGACAUGCACUGUAACCUCGGUGAAAGCCGGGCAGCUGGGUUAAACCAGCGCUUUGCACAGGUGCUGCAUGGCUGUCGUCAGCUCGUGUCGUGAGAUGUUGGGUUAAGUCCCGCAACGAGCGCAACCCCUGUGUCCUGUUGCCACUCCUUAAUUGGAAGCACUCUGGACAGACUGCCCUGUGAAACGGGGAGGAAGGUGGGGAUGACGUCAAGUCAGCAUGGCCCUUACACCCUGGGCUGCACACGUACUACAAUGCUCAGUACAAUACGAGCCGAAACCGCGAGGUGGAGGAAAUCUCGAAAACUGAGCYCAAUUCGGAUCGCAGGCUGCAACUCGCCUGCGUGAAGCUGGAAUCGCU